This 468-nucleotide ribosomal RNA is filed under the name uncultured bacterium. Its description in RNAcentral is "partial 16S ribosomal RNA". It matches the Rfam family "Bacterial small subunit ribosomal RNA", at positions 28 to 507 of the family's 1533-position model. The record is from RNAcentral.
GACGAACGCUGGCGGCGUGCUUAACACAUGCAAGUCGAACGGAAAGGCCCUGCUUUUGUGGGUUUCUCGAGUGGCGAACGGGUGAGUAACACGUGAGUAACCUGCCCUUGACUUUGGGAUAACUUCAGGAAACUGGGGCUAAUACCGGAUAGGAGCUCCUGCUGCAUGGUGGGGGUUGGAAAGUUUCGGCGGUUGGGGAUCGACUCGCGGCUUAUCCGCUUGUUGGUGGGGUAGUGGCUUACCAAGGCUUUGACGGGUAGCCGGCCUGAGAGGGGGACCGGGGACAUGGGGACUGAGGGACGGACCAGACUGCUACGGGAGGCAGCAGGGGGGAAUAUGGCACAAUGGGCGGAAGCGUGAUGCAGAAACGCCGGGUGCGGGAUGACGGGCUUCGGGGUGUAAACCGCUUUCGCCGGUGACGAAGCGUGAGUGACGGUAAUGGGUAAAGAAGCACCGGCUAACUACGUG